GGUAGCGUGGCCGAGUGGUCUAAGGCGCUGGAUUAAGGCUCCAGUCAUUUCGGGGGCGUGGGUUCAAGUCCCACCGCUGCCA
Danio rerio (zebrafish) is the source of this 82-nucleotide non-coding RNA. Lineage: Eukaryota; Metazoa; Chordata; Actinopteri; Cypriniformes; Danionidae. The record is from Rfam.